Molecule: ribosomal RNA, 378 nt
Filed under: Triticum aestivum (bread wheat)
Lineage: Eukaryota; Viridiplantae; Streptophyta; Magnoliopsida; Poales; Poaceae
Description: partial small subunit ribosomal RNA
Source: RNAcentral
AUGAAGACAGAGAUCGAGGAGGAAGGCACCAGAGGGUCCUGGACUGAGGAGGACAAAUCCCUUUGUGCUUCUGUGUUGGGCUUAGAUGCCUUCACAUAUCUGACGAAAGGUGGAGGUGCCAUAUCUGAAAAUCUCGUAGCAGCGUCUGCGUUGGUGGGCUUGCAAAAUAAACUCCAGGACCUAGUUGAAGCUGAUGGUAAAAGCCUUCGUUGGAACUACGCCAUCUUCUGGCAACUCUCCCACACCAAAUCUGGUGAACUUGUCCUUGGCUGGGGUGAUGGAUCUUGUCGUGAACCCCAUGAUAAUGGAGGUAAUAGCAUCCCAGGUACCCUAACUUGCAUCCAAUGUGAUGAUCUAGUCCUAAACUUGCAAAACUAG